CGGCGAGUGAAGCGGCAACAGCUCAAAUUUGAAAUCUGGUCACCUUACGGAGGCCCGAGUUGUAAUUUGAAGAGGAUGCUUUUGGCGAGGUGCCUUCCGAGUGCCCUGGAACGGGACGCCACAGAGGGUGAGAGCCCCGUAUGGUUGGACACCGAGCCUAUGUAAAGCUCCUUCGACGAGUCGAGUAGUUUGGGAAUGCUGCUCAAAAUGGGAGGUAAACCCCUUCUAAAGCUAAAUAUUGGCCAGAGACCGAUAGCGCACUAGUAGAGUGAUCGAAAGAUGAAAAGCACUUUGAAAAGAGAGUUAAACAGCACGUGAAAUUGUUGAAAGGGAAGCGCUUGCGACCAGACUUGCGCCCGUCGGAUCAACCGUCGCUUGUCGGCGGCGCACUCCGGCGGGCUCAGGCCAGCAUCAGUUUUCCCGGGGGGAGAAAGGCGGUGGGAAUGUAGCUCCUAGGAGUGUUAUAGCCCGCCGCGUAAUACCCUCGGGGGGACUGAGGACCGCGCAUCUGCAAGGA
Molecule: ribosomal RNA, 517 nt
Filed under: uncultured Doratomyces
Lineage: Eukaryota; Fungi; Ascomycota; Sordariomycetes; Microascales
Description: eukaryotic LSU rRNA
Rfam family: Eukaryotic large subunit ribosomal RNA
Source: RNAcentral